CAUGUCCUCUUGAUAAUUAUUUGAGGUCUGAUCUGCUCAAUGAGUAGUUAAAUUGCCGCGGUAUUCUGACCGUGCGAAGGUAGCAUAAUAAUUAGUUUCUUUAUUGGAAGCUGGAAUGAAUGAUUGGACGAGAAAAAAUCUGUCUCUGUUGAAUUGAAUUUUGAAUUUAACUUUUAAGUAAAAAGGCUUAAAUGGUUUUAAAAGACGAGAAGACCCUAUAGAGUUUAACAAAUUAUUUAUUUAAAGUUUUUGGUAUUUAUUGUUUUGAUAAUGUUGUUUGUUUAGUUGGGGUGACUGGAAGAUUUGUUUAACUCUUCUAAAUUUUUGUUAUUGAUUUAUAAAUUUUUAUUCUGAUGUUUUCAAGUUUAAUAUAAAUUACCUUAGGGAUAACAGCGUUAUUUCUCUUUAGAGUUCUUAUUGGAAGAGAAGUUUGCGACCUCGAUGUUGGAUUAAAAUUUAUUUUGGGUGCAGUAGCUCAAAUAUUAGGUCUGUUCGACCUUUAAAAUUUUACAUGAUCUGAGU
RNAcentral lists this ribosomal RNA (522 nucleotides) under Anaissini sp. UPOL RK0301. RNAcentral describes it as "partial 16S ribosomal RNA". It matches the Rfam family "Bacterial large subunit ribosomal RNA", at positions 1816 to 2610 of the family's 2925-position model. The record is from RNAcentral. Lineage: Eukaryota; Metazoa; Arthropoda; Insecta; Coleoptera; Elateridae.